AUGGCGGGUAUCGACUUGUCUGGAAACUUUCUAUCACAGGAGAUCCCGAAAGGGCUCACAACCCUUGUUGGACUCAGGUACCUGAACUUAUCAGGAAAUCAUCUGUCAGGCUAUAUUCCUGAAGACAUUGGCAAUCUGGUACUGCUGGAAUCCUUGGACCUUUCUCGGAACCAACUUAGGGGAGAAAUUCCUCAAGGCUUUGCAGAUUUGAGGAGCAUAAGCGCUCUGAACCUCUCAACCAACAUGUUAUCAGGGAGGAUACCUAUGGGUGAUCAGCUGCGGACACUCGUUGACCAGUCAAUAUACAGCAAUAAUCCUGGGCUAUGCGGGUUUCCGUUGGAAGACUGCAAAAACUCGCCGACACCGACACAAACUGAAACAAGCCUGGAUGAAGAUAAAGAGACAUUGUGGUUGUAUUGCUUCGUGGCUGCUGGGUUCAUCUUUGGGUUCUGGCUGUACUGGGGCAUCUUCUUAUUUCGCGGCGAGACAUGGAGGUAUUUAUUCUAUCAGUAUGUGGACAACAUGCAAGGCAAGGUAACCAAGAAAGUAUACAGCUGCAUUUCACGCUUCCAGGUCAAAGGGCCUGAAUGA
This 591-nucleotide ribosomal RNA is filed under the name Triticum aestivum (bread wheat). RNAcentral describes it as "partial small subunit ribosomal RNA". The record is from RNAcentral. Lineage: Eukaryota; Viridiplantae; Streptophyta; Magnoliopsida; Poales; Poaceae.